GUGUAUUUGGAAAUAUCCCUAAUACAGGAUCACUUGGAUCCGUCGGCGAUGACGAGCGCGAAAGAAUGCGAAAAGUCCUCACGGAAUGCUCUAAUUAUGAGAUAAUCUCAUGGAUACUCCCUGGACUUAAGCAUAUCAUUAAGGGAAGGAAAAGAAACUAACUAGGAUUCCGUUAGUAGUGGCGAAUGAACACGGAAGAGCUCCAAUGGUAAAGCCUAAGUGCUGUUGUAAUGUAGCCUCCGAAAACAUUCGGAAAGGAUGACCACAGUGGGUGAUGUCCCUAGGGGCCCCGUCCC
This 296-nucleotide non-coding RNA is filed under the name Enterocytozoon bieneusi H348. RNAcentral describes it as "Archaeal large subunit ribosomal RNA". It matches the Rfam family "Archaeal large subunit ribosomal RNA", at positions 1 to 384 of the family's 2987-position model. Lineage: Eukaryota; Fungi; Microsporidia; Enterocytozoonidae. The record is from Rfam by way of RNAcentral.